UGCAUCGGCCGGGAAUCGACCCCUGGCCGCCCGCGUGGCAGGCGAGCAUUCUACCACUGAACCACCGAUGC
Molecule: transfer RNA, 71 nt
Filed under: Cordylochernes scorpioides
Lineage: Eukaryota; Metazoa; Arthropoda; Arachnida; Pseudoscorpiones; Chernetidae
Description: tRNA-Gly
Source: RNAcentral